Molecule: ribosomal RNA, 490 nt
Filed under: uncultured bacterium
Lineage: Bacteria
Description: partial 16S ribosomal RNA
Rfam family: Bacterial small subunit ribosomal RNA
Source: RNAcentral
GAUGAACGCUAGCUACAGGCUUAACACAUGCAAGUCGCGGGGCAGCAUGGGGGUUGCUUGCAAUCCCCGAUGGCGACCGGCGCACGGGUGAGUAACGCGUAUCCAACCUGCCCUUCACCACGGGAUAACCCGGCGAAAGUCGGACUAAUACCGUAUGUUGUCCAUUGACGGCAUCCGAUUUGGACGAAAGGCUUGGCGGUGAGGGAUGGGGAUGCGUCCGAUUAGCCAGACGGCGGGGUAACGGCCCACCGUGGCUACGAACGGUAGGGGUUCUGAGAGGAAGGUCCCCCACACUGGAACUGAGACACGGUCCAGACUCCUACGGGAGGCAGCAGUGAGGAAUAUUGGUCAAUGGGCGUAAGCCUGAACCAGCCAAGUAGCGUGCAGGAUGACGGCCCUAUGGGUUGUAAACUGCUUUUAUGCGGGGAUAAAGUGGCCCACGUGUGGGCUUUUGCAGGUACCGCAUGAAUAAGGACCGGCUAAUUCCGUG